AUGAUCUAUGUGGGAGCAAACACAAAUUUCAGACAACAGUUGUUACAAACAUUCCACUCCUCUGCUUUGGGAGGGCAUUCUGGAAUUAAAGCCACUUAUUACAGAAUUAAGAAGGUGUUUUACUGGCCUAACAUGAAGAAGGACAUUGGACAGUUUGUAAAUCAAUGCCCUGUGUGUCAGUUGAACAAAGUGGAGCACAUAUACCCUCCUGGUCUGUUACAACCUCUACCAGUUCCUGACAUGGCUUGGUCUCACAUCACAAUGGAUUUCAUAACUGCCCUUCCCAAUUCUCAGGGUAAAGAAGUGAUUCUGGUAGUAGUGGACAGGCUAACCAAGUAUUCUCAUUUCAUUCCUUUAGCUCAUCCUUAUACAGUUCAGACAAUAUUCCAAGCACUAAUGGAUAAUGUCAUUAAACUGCAUGGUUUGCCCAUUUGUAUUAUGUCUGACAGAGACUCCAUUUUCACUAGUGCCUUAUAUCAAGAACUGUUUAAUGCUUUUGGAGUGCAGAUCAGAUUUAGUACAGCAUCACACCCUCAAACUGAUGGCCAAACAGAGCGUGUGAAUCAAUGUUUGGAGGCUUAUCUCAGAGGCAUGGUUUUCCAGGAACCCAAGAAAUGGCUACAAUGGUUACCAUUGGCAGAACUAUGGUACAAUACUAGCUACCACUCUUCACUGAAAUGCACACCCUUUCAAGCUCUUUAUGGAUAUAAACCUCCACAAAUUGGGGAGUUUGCAGGUGAUCAAGUCUUAACUCCUGAAGCUAAAUUGACAGUGGCAAAGAGAGAGCACAUGGUUCAACGUUUGAAGGCAAACCUGGAACAUGCCCAAAGCAGGAUCAAGCAUUUUGCGGACAGGAAAAGGACCGAGAGACAGCUAGAAGUGGGUGACAGAGUAUUCCUUAAAAUCCAGCCAUAUCGACAGAAUGCUUUUGGUUUAAGGGGCUCUCUAAAGCUCAAGUCAAAGUUUUAUGGUCCAUACAGAAUUCUGGAAAGAGUGGGAGAAGUCUCGUACAAGCUAGACUUACCAGCAGGGAAUAACAUACACCCAGUAUUUCACAUUAGCCAACUGAAGAAACACAUCGGCCACAAAGCUGUUCCUCUUCCUCAUGUGCCCUUGGUGACACCAGAGGGUUACGUUAAGACCAUACCAGUAGCAGUCCUGGAUAAGCGCGUGAUACAAAGGAACAAAGCACCGGUGGGUCAAUGUCUGGUGCAGUGGGAAAGCUUAGCUCCAGAUGAUGCAACAUGGGAAGACGCAGCAUUCCUCAACAAGACCUUCCCAUGCCACAAGCUUUUUCGCCUCGAGGACAAGGCGAAUGUCAUGGCGGCGGCAUUGUCAGGACCCAGACCGAGAGUUUACUAA
RNAcentral lists this ribosomal RNA (1362 nucleotides) under Triticum aestivum (bread wheat). Its description in RNAcentral is "partial small subunit ribosomal RNA". The record is from RNAcentral. Lineage: Eukaryota; Viridiplantae; Streptophyta; Magnoliopsida; Poales; Poaceae.